RNAcentral lists this ribosomal RNA (503 nucleotides) under uncultured bacterium. RNAcentral describes it as "bacterial SSU rRNA". It matches the Rfam family "Bacterial small subunit ribosomal RNA", at positions 233 to 728 of the family's 1533-position model. The record is from RNAcentral.
AUGGCCCAUCAGCUAGUUGGUAGGGUAAAGGCCUACCAAGGCUACGACGGGUCGCUGGUCUGAGAGGACGACCAGCCACACUGGCACUGAGAUACGGGCCAGACUCCUACGGGAGGCAGCAGUGAGGAAUAUUGCGCAAUGGGGGAAACCCUGACGCAGCAACGCCGCGUGUGGGAAGAAGGCCUUCGGGUCGUAAACCACUUUUGCACGGGACGAAAAAGGGAUAUCGAACAAAUAUCCCCGAUGACGGUACCGUGAGAAUAAGCCACGGCUAACUCUGUGCCAGCAGCCGCGGUAAGACAGAGGUGGCAAGCGUUGUUCGGAAUUACUGGGCGUAAAGAGUCUGUAGGUGGUUUGUCAAGUCUUUGGUGAAAGGCCGUAGCUUAACUAUGGGAAUGCCAAAGAGACUGGCAGGCUGGAGGCUGGGAGAGGGAAGCGGAAUUUCUGGUGUAGCGGUGAAAUGCGUAGAUAUCAGAAGGAAGGCCGGUGGCGAAGGCGGCUUC